This 1064-nucleotide long non-coding RNA is filed under the name Citrus sinensis (sweet orange). RNAcentral describes it as "long non-coding RNA (CSIN_LNC002554)". The record is from RNAcentral. Lineage: Eukaryota; Viridiplantae; Streptophyta; Magnoliopsida; Sapindales; Rutaceae.
UCGAGACCACAAACAAAACUAUUGUAAUAAACAAUAUAUACCAACCAAUUGUUUUCUUUAUGACACCAUCAAAUUACACAAAAGCACAACAUUGUUUAAACCUUUGCGAAGCCUACUGCACAUAAAGAUAAUCCGAAGCUUUACACACAAUCCAUGCAAAAUUAGAAUCACAUGCAAUUCAGGGCUUAAUACACAAUCCAUGUGGAGUCAAUAUAAUAUUCAUAAUGAUUACAAAUGGUCUUUACAAAGUAAAAAAUAAGUAAACAACAAUUAAAUUAAUGACUUAAACCAUCCCAAUUAAACAUGCAAAUUAGAAAUAAUUAGAAUCACAACCACAAUUUCACAUGCAACACUUAAAAUCAUUUAAAUUUGAAAUGCAAGAACUUGAAUGCACUUGCAUUACAUCAUAACACCAAAAUGAACAAGCUAUCUUCAAAGCUCAUAGCAAUUUAGAUAUUAAUCAACCACAACAACCAUAACCAUAAUUAUGACAUAAUUGCACCAUUUUCUUUAAGACCAAAGAAAUAUAGACAGUACCACCCAUAGAGUCAAAGGAUGCAAACCUCAAGGUAUUUUAAUUUCACUCAUGCAGCAACAGAAACCAAAAGCUUCUUCUGUGAUAAUAGUGGCCUCAACCUUUCGGCCACAUCUUUAACUGUAACAAGUACAUAAGAACUAUUAGAACCUAAAAAAUUUAAAUUAAAAAAAAAGAAAAAUACAUAAAGAACUAGGACCACUCCCAAACAUUAAGAAUAAUUAUUUAGGGAACCAUUGGAUCUAUAUAUAUAUUCCCGGAUAAAAUUUAAUUAGGUUUCGUUAGAAUGACACCCAUAUCUAAAAACUAUCACAUGCAUUACCACUUAAAAUCAGCUAGGGAUAUAACAUUGCAAAUUAAAAAAUUGAGUGAGGCUUUUGAUGCACUUACUUUUUCUUCUUCUUCCCUUUCUUCUCUUUCUUCUCUAAUAACAAUUGGUGUUUUGAAUAAGGGGCUGUUGGGUGACGGCUAAUGUGUCAGUGCAAAGGGCUUGGCAGUUGGAGAGAUUUUGUAAAUUCGUAAUGGGUGC